AAGAACUUGUCUCAAAUAAAGCAAAGUGAGUAUCCCUGGUCUCUUAAGGAAGAAUCAACUUGAUCUGACCCUUGAAUGUAGAGAUCAUAAAAAUAACAAUAUUCUUGAAUAUGCAGGAAAAUAUGGCAUUGUUAAGAUGAACAAAUUGGGAGAAAGGAUGGAUUGUCUUGUACAAAGCAUCCGUGAGCAUGGUAAGCACUUAAAUUCUCUAUAAAAAACUUAAAUAUAUUUAUUGAAAAUAUUACUAAGAUAACAUUUUGUUCAAGUCGAAAAAUAAGUAUUUGAACUUGAAGUUGAAAGGGGUAUUUGGGAAUUGAAAUUGUGUCCGGACAUGAGUUCCGUUUGAAAAAAAAAAAGUUUUAAGCGAAAACAAUUAUCUCACUCAAAAAUGCUACUCAGACAAGUUAAUUCCAUACUAUACCAGUCUUACAAAUGCUAAAACAUUCGCCAACUGCGAAUACUGAUGGACAAACUUCACCUUAAGUAUUUGCAAGUGAUGUCAUGACCAAACACUAGUGUAAAUCUAAAGAACUCAGAGAAGUGAGUCAUGAAGUACAAAAUUCAUGCAAGAAGCACAUGCAUACAUGAUAGAAAACAUUGAUUUUAAAUGUACUCUAAUUGUGCAGUGAGCCUAAGCGCGAAACUAACAGAAACUUUAAAGGGAAAAUUGAGCCUUGGAGCAAAAAUUCUUCAAGUAGGAGGGUUGAAGAAAAUAUUCAGGCAGAAGUUCAGUGUUAGAGAUGAUGAAAAGCUAUUGAAAGUUUGUCAAUGCUAUUUAUCAACUACAGCUGGUCCAAUAGCAGGCCUUCUCUUCAUCUCUACCGAUAAGAUUGCUUUCUGCAGUGAGAGAUCAAUAAAGCUCUCAUCUCCAACUGAAAAGUUGCUUAGAAUCUACUAUAAGGUACCACUCUGCUCCGUUUGUCUUUCAACUCUUAAUUUUCUAACCACGUAAAGCAUAAUCUAACUGGUUCACAAUGGCAGGUAUCAAUCCCAGUAAGUAAGAUAAUGAAAGCAAAAGAGAGCAAGAAUAUGCAAAAGCCAUCACACAAGUAUAUACAAGUAAUUACAGAGGAUGAUUUUGAGUUCUGGUUUAUGGGAUUUCUCAAUCAUCAAAAGACACUAAGGUAUCUGCAGCAGGCAAUCUCCAGCUCAAGCAAGUUAUGAAGACAACAUUUUUUCCUUUGUUCAUUUUUUUUCCAAUGAGCUCAUUCUUCAAUAUAAAACAUUCAUGCAAAAACGAAGUCAGGGAUCUGUUAAAACUUUGUAACUAGAUCCAUUGCUCAAAGGAAGCUUUAGGUUUAAGCUUUGUGCCCUUAUGAGUUAAUGGGAAUGUACAGACUUUUUUUUUGAAACUGGUAGCUUUUGUAUAGACUUAUUUUCUUUUUUGAGAAAGCAAGAGAUACAAAUGUAUAAAUUUAUUAUAAAACUUGUGCAGAUAGAUUGGUUUUUUUUGUAGAUUCAUUUAUCUUUCUACUUGUCCUUAGAGUAGACUUUAUGACCCAAGUGGUAGAUAUGAAAACAAGAACAAUAUGCUAGUUAUAGAAUUAGCAUUUUAGAUUGUUUAUAUGCAAAUUUAAUACUGCAUUCACAAGCUUUGCUGCCUUCAAGUUCUUUUAGUAUCCUUGAGAUAAGAAAAGGUGUAGCCAUUCUCACAAUGGAAUGCUACCCAUUCAUGAAAAGUGAACUGGUAUCAGCGUCCAUAAAAUGAUGAACCAGCCAAUUUGAAAUACUAAAAUUGGCAGUGUGUUUAACUUCUCUGCAUUUUACACUAUCAAGUUACAUAAAUGAUAACCACAGGUAACUGUAUUAAAAAGGUGGAUUUAGUAACCUGAAAAUCUGGGCAAGUUACCUGCUACAAGACGUUAAUAUACACUGUCAAUGUAAAGGCAACUUACCUACUAUAACAUGCUAAAAUACACUAUCAAUGUGAAAAAAAUGUUAUAUCAUCACUAAUAUACACUUGGUUUGUUGUUGAUAUCUCAGGUAAUAGCAAAGCAUUCUCAAACUUCAUAUUACUACAUAUUUAUGACAUAAACCCAAAAAACAAACCAAAUACAAUCAAUCUAUACUUCUUGAUCAUAGAUGUAGUCAAAGCACCCUAAGUAAGUGAUCAAAAUCCGGUGUGGAUCUCACACCCACACUUAUGUCGUGUUGACACGUGUGUGGUAGGAAUUUCGAAGAGUCUCAGUACCAUAGAUAAACUAUGAUAGUAGGGUACCAUACCCCUAAACUCUACAAUCCAAAAGAAGGCACAAGACUUCUCAUAGCUUGAUUUAGUUAUAACUAACUUUCUUGAGAUAUUUUCGGUAACACUAAUUGCUCUUCUCGUUUCGGAUAUGAUAGACGCUUAAUUCAUUUUCAUUUCUUUUAUAUAAUUGUGGUGUCUGACCACUUUGUGCACCUCGCUUAAUUCCACAAGAAUACUUGUUACCUCCUACCAACACAAGUACCAGGUAACUCAAUCCAACAUGGCAUAGACAAAUGGAAAAACAUCCACUGGAAUUUUAACCUCAGACCUCAUGGUCCUGAAAACUCACUUCAUUGAUCACAACGCCACACCCUUGGGUGCUCAUUUUAUUUAAGCUUUGCGUAACUAAACUCAUUUCCCAACAAAAAUUGACCAAAUAGCUUGCUAGAUAAUAUAAUUGAAAAACGAAUGAAAACACAUUACAACACUCUUAAAAUAUUAUUCUCUCCGGGCCAAUUUAUGUGGUGGAAUUCGACUCAACACGAAGUUUAAGAAAAGAACUUUUGGACUUAUGGCCUUGAACCUACCAUGAGAUUCUUGUGACUAAAAAAGUAUGACAUUAAGGGUAAAAUGAAAAAUUUUAAAUGAAAUAUUUCCAAGUAAAAGGUAUCAUUCUUUUGGAAUGGACUAAUAAAAACAAUGACAUAUAAUAUGUAAUAGAGGGAGUAUUAAAGAGUAUUACAAAUAAUUUCUUAAUAACUAGAUAAGUAGUUUGAAAGAAACACAUGAAAAAUGAAUCAAAAAAUAUUAUUAUCUUUUUAUGCUUCAAUUGUUAAAAUACUUUAUUUCUUUAGAUUUUUCAAAGGAUUGCUGUCCAAAGAUAAAAGAUGGUCAAACUAGGGAAAAGAUAAGUUAGUUUACCAGAAAGUUCAAAAUCAUAUGUCUGCGUGUUGUGCUCCACAUAGGAUCAGCAUGAAUGCCUACAUAACCUGCCCAUACACAUCAGGAUGAGAUGGAUAAAAAUAAAGAAAGAUAAGAAUAACUGCCUUGUAAGAGAAGGCAAUACAUACAAUCCAGACAAGCACAUGAAUUAUAGAUCUUACAUGUCAAAUUGAGAUCUUUGAAUGGCUAUUUUUCCUUGCCUAAUUAAUUAAGCAACACUUCAAGGAUGACCCUCACAUGUUCCUAAGGGGACAGGCAAGUGGUGGCUAUGAAUCAUCACUACUGUAUGUACAAUAAUGUCAUAAAUUCAAAUUUUUCACCUUGUCAACUUUAACACACAAGACUGGUAAAACUAACUUGAGAAAAAUUCGAAAGCAUAUGACGGCUAACCUAAUAGUAACAAUAUGAUUCUCAACAAUGUCCCUCUUGAGAUUAAGAACAAUUGUUUUUAGUUUAAACAACUGCUUAAUCAUAAAGAAUUACCUACAAAAUAACCAGUUAAUUUUCAUGGGAACGAAGUUGAGUCGAUUAAGCCAAAUUAAACUACCUUACUAGUUCGGAAGAGAUAACUUCAAUAUGUGAAACUUUCUCUUACUUUGGCUCAACUUACAAAAGAAGGCAGCAUCAUAAAGCAAAUCUGUCAACUAAUCUAAAGUUAUAAAAAAAAAAAAUACACAUGUGCACACAAAUCUUAAUGACAAUGAGUCAGCAUGAGAUUAGUUUACUGUAAUUGACCAGACAGCUAAAAGAAGACAUUUUCAAUACCUUACGAGAAAAGAGAAAAAGAUAUAAAAGGAAUUUAGAAAAUAAAGGGAGUGGUUGAACAUGCACUGCACUUUGAUUGUUUUUAGAAUAUUUCAAAUUUCAAUCAACAAAAAGAUUAUUGAAGACACUCCCAUCUCCCUGACAACCUUUUUCUUCUUGAUACAAAAGAAAAUUCUGAAAAAGCAUAUGCAUGACCUUUUUUGGUUAUUUCAGAUGACCCAUAGCUGACUCAUGCAACAAUCAGUUAAAAGAUUCACCAACUCCUCUGCAAGCACCUAUAUAUAAUGCUACAUGGAAUGCUUUUAAACCAUCAACCAAACUUAAAUAUUUCUCACAUACCUUCAAAAUACGGUAAUACUCCACCUCAAAUCAGAACCACAAUGAAGAACUUACUCCGUGGAAAUUUGGUGGGUAUUCCCAUGAGUACAACAAUAUGUUCACUUGAAAGGCAGCCGAAAAAACUAUUUGCCCUAUCUGCUUGCGAAGACCAUAUCGUUCCAUAUGCAACUUUAAAGAACUUGUCUCAAAUUAAGCAAAGUGAGUGUUUCCCUGGUCCCUUAAGGAAGAAUCAACUUGAUCUGACCCUUGAAUGUAGAGAUCAUAAAAAUAACAAUAUUCUUGAAUAUGCAGGAAAAUAUGUCAUUGGUAAGAUUAACAAAUUGGGAGAAAGGGUGGAUUGUCUUGUACAAAGCAUCCGUGAGCAUGGUAAGCACUUAAGUUCGCUACAAAAAACUUAAAUAUAUUUAUUGAAAAUAUUACUAAGAUAAUAUUAUGUUCAAGUCGGAAAAUAAGUAUUUGAACUUGGAGUUGAAAGGAGUAUUUGGGAAUUGAAAUUGUGUCUGGACAUGAAUUUUGUUUGAAAAAAAAGUUUGUAAGCGAAAACAAUUAUCUCACACAAAAAUACUACUCAGACAAGUUAAUUCAAUACUACACCUGUCUUUCAAAUGCUAAAAUCACCAACUGUGAAUACUGAUGGACAAACUUUACCUCAAGUAUUUGCAAGUGAUGUCAUGACCAAACACUAUUGUAAAUCUAAAGAACUCAGAGAAGUGAGUCAUAAAGUAAAAAAUUCAUGCAAGAAACACAUGUAUACAUGAUAGAAAGCAUUGAUUUUAAAUGUACUCUAAUUGUGCAGUGAGCCUAAGCCCGAAACUAACAGAAACUUUAAAGGGAAAAUUGAGCCUUGGAGCAAAAAUUCUUCAAGUAGGAGGGUUGGAGAAAAUAUUCAGGCAGAAGUUCAGUCUUAGAGAUGAUGAAAAGCUAUUGAAAGUUUGUCAAUGCUAUUUAUCAACUACAGCUGGUCCAAUAGCAGGCCUUCUCUUCAUCUCUACCGCUAAGAUUGCUUUCUGCAGUGAGAGAUCAAUAAAGCUCUUAUCUCCAACUGAAAAGUUGCUUAGAACUUACUAUAAGGUACCACUCUGCUCCGUUUGUCUUUCAACUCUUAAUUUUCUAACCAUGUAAAGCAUAAUCUAACUGGUUCACAAUGGCAGGUAUCAAUCCCAAUAAGUAAGCUACUGAAAGCAAAGGAGAGCAAGAAUAUGCAAAAGCCAUCACAGAAGUAUAUACAAGUAAUUACAGAGGAUGAUUUUGAGUUCUGGUUUAUGGGAUUUCUCAAUCAUCAAAAGACACUGAGAUAUCUGCAGCAGGCAAUCUCCAGCUCAAGGAAGUUAUGAAGACAACAUUUUUUCCUUUUGUUCAUUUCUUUUCCAAGGAGCUCGUUCUUCAAUGUAAAACGUUCAUGCAAAAACGAACUCAGGGAUCUGUUAAAACUUUGUAACUAGAUCCAUUGCUCAAAGGAGGCUUUAGGUUUAAGCUUUGUGCCCUUAUGAGUUAAUGGGAAUGUACAGACUUUUUUUUUUAGAUACGAAUGUAUAAAUUUAUUAUAAAACUUGUGCAGAUAGAUUGGUUUUUUUUGUAGAUUCAUUUAUCUUUCUACUUGUCCUUAGAGUAGACUUUAUGACCCAAGUGGUAGAUACGAAAACAAGAACAAUAUGCUAGUUAUAGAAUUAGCAUUUUAGAUUGUUUAUAUGCAAAUUUAAUACUGCAUUCACAAGCUUUGCUGCCUACAAGUUCUUUAAGUACGAUAUAUAGUGUCUUCAAAUUAUUUAUCUUUUGGAUAAAAUGAAAUAAGAUAUAAAAUCUGCAGUUGUGAAGUCAGUUUGAGGGAUAUUUCCCUGUUGUAAUUCAAUAUGCUGAGGCCGGAAACCACACUAUAUCAAUUUAAGAAUCUAAGUGAUCAUCAUCAUUUUUCUGGUCUGUAGUUCCUCACACCUUGAGAUAAGAAAAGGUGUAGCCAUUCUCACAAUGGAAUGCUACCCAUUCAUGAAAAGUGAACUGGUAUCAGCGUCCAUAAAAUGAUGAACCAGCCAAUUUGAAAUACUAAAAUUGGCAGUGUGUUUAACUUCUCUGCAUUUUACACUAUCAAGUUACAUAAAUGAUAACCACAGGUAACUGUUUAAAAAAGGUGGAUUUAGUAACCUGAAAAUCUGGGCAAGUUGCCUGCUACAAGACAUUAAUAUACACUGUCAAUGUAAAGGCAACUUACCUACUAUAACAUGCUAAAAUACACUAUCAACGUGAAAAAAAAAUGUUAUACCGUCACUAAAAUACACUUGGUUUGUUGUUGAUAUCUCGUGUAAUAGCAAAACAUUCUCAAACUUCAUAUUACUACAUAUUUAUGACAUAAACCCAAAAAACAAACCAAAUACAAUCAAUCUAUACUUCUUGAUCAUAGAUGUAGUCAAAGCACCCUAAGUAAGUGAUCAAAAUCCGGUGUGGAUCUCACACCCACACUUUUGUCGUGUUGACACGUGUGUGGUAGGAAUUUUGAAGAGUCUGAGUACUAUAGAUAAACCAUGAUAGUAGAGUACCAUACCCCUAAACUCAACAUCCAAAAGAAGGCACAAGACUUCUCAUAUCUUGAUUUAGUUACAACUAACUUUCUUGAGAUAUUUUCGGUAACACUAAUUGCUCUUCUCGUUUUGCACCUGAUAGAGGCUUAAUUCAUUUUGAUUUUUCUUAUAAUUGUGGUGUCUGACCACUUUGCGCACCUCGCUUAAUUCCACAAGACUACUUGUUACCUCCUACCAACACAAGUGCUAGGUAACUCAACCCAAUAUGGCUUAGACAAAUGGAAAAACAUCAGCUGGAAUUUGAACCUCAGACCCACUUCAUUGAUCACAACGCCACACCCUUGGGUACUCAUUUAAGCUUUAUGUAACUAAACUCAUUUUCCAACAAAAAUUGGCCAACUAGCUUGCUAGAUAAUAUAAUUGAAAAACGAAUGAAAACACAUUACAACGCUCUUAAAAUAUUAUUCUCUCAGGGCCAAUUUAUGUGGUGGAAUUCGACUCAACACAAAGUUUAAGAAAAGAACUUUUGGACUUAUGGCCUUGAACCUACCAUGAGAUUCUUGUGACUAAAAAAGUAUGACAUUAAGGGUAAAAUGAAAAAAUUUAAAUGAAAUAUUUCUAAAUAAAAGGUAUCAUUCUUUUGGAAUGGACUAAUAAGAACUAUGACAUAUAAUAAGUAAUAGAGGGAGUAUUAAAGAGUAUUACAAAUAAUUUCUUAAUAACCAGAUAAGAAGUUUGAAAGAUACACAUGAAAAAUGAAUCAAAAAAUAUUAUUAUCUUUUUAUGCUUCAUUGUUAAAUACUUUUAUUUCUUUAGAUUUUUCAAAGGAUUGUUGUCCAAAGAUAAAAGAUGGUCAAACUAGGGAAAAGAUAAGUUAGUUUACCGGAAAGUUCUAAAUCAUAUGUCUGCGUGUUGUGCUCCACAUAGGAUCAGCAUGAAUGCCUACAUAACCUGCCCAUACACAUCAGGAUGAGAUGGAGAAAAAUAAAGCAAGAUAAGAAUAACUGCCUUGUAAGAGAAGGCAAUACAUACAAUCCAGACAAGAACAUGAAUUAUAGAUCUUACAUAUCAA
RNAcentral lists this long non-coding RNA (7819 nucleotides) under Solanum tuberosum (potato). RNAcentral describes it as "long non-coding RNA (STUB_LNC004342)". Lineage: Eukaryota; Viridiplantae; Streptophyta; Magnoliopsida; Solanales; Solanaceae. The record is from RNAcentral.